AUAGGGACCGUGCGCGUUGGAGGGUCUGCCAUCUUGUGGCCUGAAUCGGAACCAUAAACAUCUUCACACCAAAGCGAGUGCUGCCAUCUACCGUUCUCGUACGUUUUCUUGUGCAUAGUAGGUUCUGCCAUCUUGUGGGCUACAUUGGAAGCAUAAACUUCACAUGUACGCCUUGCGCCAAAAAUCUGUCUCCUGUGCUGCGGCCUACAGUUUAUGCACGCUCCCUAUAAUAAGACCUUAAUAUCGCCACCACAUCGCCUCUCAUCAUUAUCUGAAGGUUAUAAUGUUAACUAAUCGCCCUAGAUGGCACUGCAUGCUCUUAAUAAUUAUUAUCUGUGUUAAUAUAUUAGGUAUAUAUUUAUAGAUAUGAUAAGGACAAAUAAUAUUUAGUGUUGAGCUGAUGAAAGAUCCUUGGAUAGUAAUGUAAACAAAACAGGUGAGUAUAUCUCAGUUCACAUGGAAAGUUUAUAAUUUCCAGGGUGUCCAGUGGCAGAUAUCUUAUUUCAAAAUUUGAUUUCAAGUUAACUAAAACAUCUAAAUUACAACUAUUUAUUUUUAUGAAAAGAAGAUAAAUGCGGAUUUCAUUUCAAACCUUCGCUGGACACCUUGUAGCCUGAUAGUUAUUAUAUAGUAUAUAAAGUUUGUAUUCGUGCUGUACAAUCCAAGGAUUUUUAUUUUGCUAAAAGCUAAGUACUUACCUAAGAUACUUCAAGUACUUAAGCACAGUUAGCUUUAAAAAUGUCUACCUAUGCUAGAUACUAGCAGACUUACAGUCGGACCAAGCUAACUCUGCAUGCCAUAUGCAAUGACAAUGUAUGGCAAUGUCAUCAUUAAUUAUUAUAAUGCCACUCCUCACUUUGUUCCAUUCAAGUCCGUGCAAAGUUCUUUGACGGACCACAAAAAUGUUAGCCAAACUCGAGAUUGAUAUUUUUGGAGCCGACUGUACUUGUAAAAUAAAUGUGUCUUUCCAUCAGAGAAGGAUCCUUAUGCUUCAUGUGCAAUAAGGACGUUUUUAUCAUGAUGUUUGUUGGAAUUUCUGAUGGAAAGGUCCUUAAUUAUUGCACAUGAAGCAUAUUAAGUGCGUGUGUGUGUUAAGUGUGAUGGAAAGCCACAAAUGUAUUUUGAUGUCAUUGUCUAAGGGUGGUAUUCCAUCCGUCUAAUAUCUUUGUCCAAUAUCAUUGCAUCUCACUCUCUCAUGGAGCAAAAUGUGCGACAAAAUACACAUUGGACAAAGAAAUUAGACAGGUGUAAUAUCACCCUAAGGCAGAGUAUUGGAGUAAGUUGUAUUGUAACUGAUUUAGACAUCUGGGAGCCAACCGCGAACCACGUUCGAUAGUUUGCCUCCCUGUCACACUUACGUACGAAUUUACAAGUGCAACAGAGAGGCAACACUUCGAACGUGGUUCGCGGUAGGCCCUCUCUGGCUGUUACUCCCAGG
Cydia strobilella is the source of this 1438-nucleotide long non-coding RNA. RefSeq lists it as uncharacterized. The transcript is spliced from 3 exons. NCBI's taxonomy places the organism in Eukaryota, Metazoa, Arthropoda, Insecta, Lepidoptera, Tortricidae. The record is from RefSeq and is a predicted model, not a curated record.